This is a long non-coding RNA of Phyllostomus discolor (pale spear-nosed bat), 1271 nucleotides long. RefSeq lists it as uncharacterized. Lineage: Eukaryota; Metazoa; Chordata; Mammalia; Chiroptera; Phyllostomidae. The record is from RefSeq and is a predicted model, not a curated record. The transcript is spliced from 4 exons.
GACGGGGCGGGGCUUGAGCAGGGGGCGGGUCGGCUCAGCAGGCCCCUCCCCGGCCCGCGCGCCGGGAACAAAGACGCUCGCGCGCCCGUGGGGAGGACCCCCGCCCGCCGCCCGCCGCGCCUGCGCCCCGCGACCCCCCGGCCAGGCCCGGGGCUGGGGCGCAAUGGCGGCGGGAAGACACGCGCCUCCUGCGGUCAAGCCCUGUUCCUCCAUCCCGCAAAGCUUCCUCACGCGGCCCGGGGCACAGCUAGGUGGCCACGGCCGAUCUCGUCACGCGCGGAGCCGCGCGCCCGCCCGGCAGUCAGUCGCACAGGCUGACGCCCAGCCCACUGUCCCGUACAGGCCCAGCCGCAGCCGUUUCCUCACCCCUACUCCCCAAACGCCACCAGCGCAGCAACUGGAAAGAGAGUCCUUCUCUAGAGGCGCCCAUCACAGAGAACCGCCCAAACUGAAGACACCUGUGGUCCCAGUGGAGCCGGUCAGACAGAUGUUGAACCAGUCAGGACAGCUUACCACAUUUCAGAGACGAAAAACUGAGGCACAGAGAGAUUAAGGGACAUGUUCACGGACACACAGCUAAGAGGUGGCAGGGAUGGGAUUCAAACCCAGAGAGCCUGGCUUGAAUCAAUGCUAUGUUCCUUCCUACAUAGUAACACAGCAGACAGGAAUCAGACCAAGUUCCCACUCCAGUAGCGGAUACAGAAAUGCCCACAGAGGACCGAUCAGUGUGAUCAGGCCCCCUGGAUCCCUGAGAAGGGACACAGACCUCACUUAGACCUUUGGUGGCUAUGGGGACGGAGCAAAGUGAGAAACGGUGUCCUGUGUGCGUGAAGAUGCGGCAGGUCCAGAAACAAGGUGACCAUUUGGUCUGUAGUGGCAAUCCAGGUGUUCUGUGGCUUUUUUUCAACUAAAAUAUAAACAUUUUUAGAGAUGCAUGAUUCAAGUGUCCACAUAUAACAAUUUAGUUACACGUACGUAUUCGAAAUCACCUAUUAUUUAAAACAAUACAUUAAUUUAUGAAUAUUGACUUUUCCCACUCUUACCUUUGCAGUAACAUUCAAACUCUUUACAUAAAUCUUUCUUUCUUUGUAGAAAUCACUGGAGUCGCUUUUUGAGUCAUCUAAUACAAUUCCUGAAAGCACACUCACUGCCCUCUAAGUUGUCUGAGAGAGCACACUUCUGAAAAACCAACUUUAUUGAGGGAUAACUUACAUGUAAUAGAAGGCACCCACGUUAAGGGUAAAGUUUGGUGAGCUUUGACAAAUGUAAAC